GACGCACCGUGCGAACGUUGUUCGGAAUCACUGGGCUUAAAGGGCGCGUAGGCGGGCUGCCAAGUCAGUGGUGAAAUCUUUCAGCUCAACUGGAAAAGUGCCGCUGAUACUGGCAGUCUCGAGGGAGGUAGGGGUCGAUGGAACUAAUGGUGGAGCGGUGAAAUGCGUAGAUAUCAUUAGGAACGCCGGUGGCGAAAGCGAUCGACUGGACCUCUUCUGACGCUGAGGCGCGAAAGCCAGGGGAGCAAACGGG
Molecule: ribosomal RNA, 253 nt
Filed under: uncultured bacterium
Lineage: Bacteria
Description: partial 16S ribosomal RNA
Rfam family: Bacterial small subunit ribosomal RNA
Source: RNAcentral